GCCUCAAAUCAGGUAGGACUACCCGCUGAACUUAAGCAUAU
RNAcentral lists this ribosomal RNA (41 nucleotides) under Cryptococcus sp. O382A. Its description in RNAcentral is "partial 28S ribosomal RNA". Lineage: Eukaryota; Fungi; Basidiomycota; Tremellomycetes; Tremellales; Cryptococcaceae. The record is from RNAcentral.